RNAcentral lists this non-coding RNA (33 nucleotides) under Escherichia coli. Lineage: Bacteria; Pseudomonadati; Pseudomonadota; Gammaproteobacteria; Enterobacterales; Enterobacteriaceae. The record is from RNAcentral.
GAAUAGCAAUAGUCCAUAGAUUUGCGAAAACAG